Molecule: ribosomal RNA, 426 nt
Filed under: Spiroplasma endosymbiont of Heliconius timareta
Lineage: Bacteria; Bacillati; Mycoplasmatota; Mollicutes; Entomoplasmatales; Spiroplasmataceae
Description: bacterial SSU rRNA
Rfam family: Bacterial small subunit ribosomal RNA
Source: RNAcentral
AUUGAUCCUGGCUCAGGAUUAACGCUAGCGGCAUGCCUAAUACAUGCAAGUCGAACGAAAGUAGCAAUACUUUAGUGGCGAACGGGUGAGUAACACGUAUCUAACCUACCAUUUAGUGAGGAAUAACUGUUGGAAACAACAGCUAAUACCGCAUAUGUUAUUUAUUUGCAAUGAUAAAUAAUGAAAGGAGCAUUUGCUUCGCUAAUUGAUGGGGAUGCGGCGCAUUAACUAGUUGGUAAGGUAAUGGCUUACCAAGGUAACGAUGCGUAGCCGAUCUGAGAGGAUGAACGGCCACAUUGGGAAUGAGACACGGCCCAAACUUCUACGGAAGGCAGCAGUAGGGAAUUUUUCACAAUGGGCGAAAGCCUGAUAGAGCAAUGCCGCGUGACUGAUGAAGGUCUUCGGAUUGUAAAAGUCUGUUGUAAG